GCAGUGUCCCUGCUCCUUACUUUGUAGGGCUGCAGAAACAAUGGAAUAAGAUGGCACCCAGGGAAAAGAAAGAACAAAGACAAACUCAUCAAUGGAUCAACAUAUGUCACCAAAGACACAAGAACAGGCAGGAAUUCAAGCAUUAGUGACAUUCAUACAAAGGAUGCAGAGGCCUUGCCUUGGUAAAGGUGUAACGAAGACUGCACGAGUCUGAACCUGAAAUAAAUGACACUAUGAACCUGGAGCUGUGCUUGUCACAUGAAAGGCACUAUCAAUAUUUGAGGACAAAUAAAAAGGAAGG
This 301-nucleotide long non-coding RNA is filed under the name Fukomys damarensis (Damara mole-rat). RNAcentral describes it as "lncRNA (ENSFDAG00000023436.1)". Lineage: Eukaryota; Metazoa; Chordata; Mammalia; Rodentia; Bathyergidae. The record is from RNAcentral.